Molecule: ribosomal RNA, 253 nt
Filed under: uncultured bacterium
Lineage: Bacteria
Description: partial 16S ribosomal RNA
Rfam family: Bacterial small subunit ribosomal RNA
Source: RNAcentral
GACAGAGGUGCCAAGCGUUAGGCGGAAUCACUGGGCUUAAAGCGUGUGUAGGCGGAUUUCUAAGUACCUUGUGAAAUCCCACGGCUUAACCGUGGAACUGCUGGGUAUACUGGGUGUCUUGAGCCACUCAGGGGCUACCGGAACAAACGGUGGAGCGGUGAAAUGCGUUGAGAUCCACAGGAACUCCGGUGGCGAAGGCGGCGUGCUGGACCCGUCCUGACGCUGAGGCGCGAAAGCCAGGGGAGCGAACGGG